RNAcentral lists this ribosomal RNA (408 nucleotides) under uncultured bacterium. Its description in RNAcentral is "bacterial SSU rRNA". It matches the Rfam family "Bacterial small subunit ribosomal RNA", at positions 497 to 894 of the family's 1533-position model. The record is from RNAcentral.
ACGAGUGCGUGUGCCAGCCGCCGCGGUAAUACGAAGGGUGCAAGCGUUACUCGGAAUCACUGGGCGUAAAGCGUAGCGUAGGCGGUUCGUUAAGUCUGCUGUGAAAGCCCUGGGCUCAACCUGGGAACUGCAGUGGAUACUGGCGGGCUAGAGUGUGAUAGAGGAGUGGUGGAAUUCCCGGUGUAGCGGUGAAAUGACGUAGAGAUCGGGAGAACACCAGUGGCGAAGGCGGCCAUCUGGAUCAACACUGAACGCUGAGGCACGAAAGCGUGGGGAGCAAACAGGACUUAGAUACCCCUGGUAGUCCACGCCCUAAACGAUGCGAACUGGACGUUGGUUGCAACUUGGCAAUCAGUGUCGAAGCUAACGCGUUAAGUUCGACCGCCUGGGGAAGUACGGUCGCAAGAC